Molecule: ribosomal RNA, 989 nt
Filed under: uncultured Actinomycetes bacterium
Lineage: Bacteria; Bacillati; Actinomycetota; Actinomycetes
Description: bacterial SSU rRNA
Rfam family: Bacterial small subunit ribosomal RNA
Source: RNAcentral
CCAGCAGCCGCGGUAAUACGUAGGGUGCAAGCGUUGUCCGGAUUUAUUGGGCGUAAAGAGCUCGUAGGCGGUUAGUCACGUCGGAUGUGAAAACCCAGUGCUUAACACUGGGCCUGCAUUCGAUACGGGCUGACUAGAGUGUUGUAGGGGAGACUGGAACUCCUGGUGUAGCGGUGAAAUGCGCAGAUAUCAGGAAGAACACCGGUGGCGAAGGCGGGUCUCUGGGCAACUACUGACGCUGAGGAGCGAAAGCGUGGGGAGCAAACAGGAUUAGAUACCCUGGUAGUCCACGCCGUAAACGGUGGGCGCUAGGUGUGGGGAACAUUCCACGUUCUCCGUGCCGCAGCUAACGCAUUAAGCGCCCCGCUGGGGAGUACGCGCAAGCUAAACUCAAAGGAAUUGACGGGGCCGCACAAGCGCGAGCAUGCGGCUAAUUCGAUGCAACGCGAAGAACCAUUACUAGGCUUGACAGUUGGGGAAAUCUGGCAGAGAUGCCAGGUCCGUAAGGGCCCCAAAACAGGUGGUGCAUGGCUGUCGUCAGCUCGUGUCGUGAGAUGUUGGGUUAAGUCCCGCAACGAGCGCAACCCUCGUCGUAUGUUGCCAGCGGAUAAUGCCGGGGACUCAUACGAGACUGCCGGGGUCAACUCGGAGGAAGGUGGGGACGACGUCAAGUCAUCAUGCCCCUUAUGUCUAGGGCUGCACGCAUGCUACAAUGGCCGGUACAGAGGGCUGCGAAACCGCGAGGUGGAGCGAAUCCCAAAAAGCCGGUCUCGGUUCGGAUUGGGGUCUGCAACUCGACCCCAUGAAGUCGGAGUCGCUAGUAAUCGCAGAUCAGCAACGCUGCGGUGAAUACGUUCCCGGGCCUUGUACACACCGCCCGUCACGUCACGAAAGUCGGCAACACCCGAAGCCGGUGGCCUAACCCUUGUGGGAGGAGCCGUCGAAGGUGGGGCUGGUGAUUGGGACGAAGUCGUAACAAGGUAGCCGAU